This 83-nucleotide transfer RNA is filed under the name Clostridia bacterium. RNAcentral describes it as "tRNA-Leu". It matches the Rfam family "tRNA". From Rfam's summary of the family: Transfer RNA (tRNA) molecules are approximately 80 nucleotides in length. Their secondary structure includes four short double-helical elements and three loops (D, anti-codon, and T loops). Further hydrogen bonds mediate the characteristic L-shaped molecular structure. tRNAs have two regions of fundamental functional importance: the anti-codon, which is responsible for specific mRNA codon recognition, and the 3' end, to which the tRNAs corresponding amino acid is attached (by aminoacyl-tRNA synthetases). tRNAs cope with the degeneracy of the genetic code in two manners: having more than one tRNA (with a specific anti-codon) for a particular amino acid; and 'wobble' base-pairing, i.e. permitting non-standard base-pairing at the 3rd anti-codon position. Lineage: Bacteria; Bacillati; Bacillota; Clostridia. The record is from RNAcentral.
GCACCUGUGGCGGAAUUGGCAGACGCACUAGAUUUAGGAUCUAGCGGGAGACCGUGCAGGUUCAAGUCCUGUCAGGUGCACCA